UUAUAGAAAUUAUAAGCAAUUAACCAUCCUCAACUUCAUGUUUGCAGACUGUGAAAGGGGGUGUUUCAGAGACACGCAUUGAGAAACGAAUCGUCAUUACUGGGGAUGCUGAUAUUGACCAUGAUCAGGCCCUGGCUCAGGCAAUUAAAGAGGCCAAAGAGCAGCACCCUGAUAUGUCUGUGACCAAAGUAGUGGUACACAAAGAGACAGAGAUCACGCCAGAGGACGGGGAUGAUUGAUCGCAGGAUUAACCACAUCUUCACAAAAGAAGUAACACAUACACAUCAUUAGGAAUGAUUUUGGAGUCUAAAUGGAGUCAUGCACAUGACUUUGUUUGUCUGAAUACAUCCACUAAUGACCUUUCACAUCAUACUGGAGCACGUUGAUACGAGGACCACAUUUCGCCCUCACUAAAUAAGGACAUUGGCAUAAGCCUUUCCAUUCCAGAAUAUACAUAUGAGCAGCAGAUGAAUAUUGCAUGACUAGAAUAAACUUAUCACAAAAAUGAACCCCCGCAUUUUCCAAAUCCACAGUAGAAUCUUUCACGUCAUUUAGGUUAUUGUUUUAUCUGCACGCAAAGAAUAAAAGAUCACUGGUACAAAAAAUUAUUUAAAGAAUUGGAGGGAAUAAUCCAGCCUUUGACAGUAUGUAAUUUAAAAAAAAGCUGAGCAAGAUAGAAAGAGGAAUGAGUUGGUUGUCGUUCAUUUUGAUAGUUUUUGGUUUAGAAGUGAGUAACUAUCACUCCAAGGUUGGUGAGAAAAAAAGCGUAAUUGUAACAUGAGGGAUAUGUCAUAACUUACAGUAGAUGUGCCAAUAACAGUAUAAGCCCAUAUCUAUUAUAAUACAAAGCAACUUGAAGCUUAUAACUGGAAACCUUGAUAUUCAAUGGCAAUGCCUGUGAAAAACAUGAAUAACCUUAACCAUUUUAGAAGGAAUUGUUUUGCUGCGUUUUGUGUGUUGUCAGCAUAAUUUGAUGUCACCUAACAUUUUUUUUAAAACAAAAUAUAUAUAUAUAUAUAUAUUUUACUUGAAGGACUGGUUUUGUUAGAUGAGCACAUUCUUUUAUGUUAGAACCAGAAGUCCAGGUAGACUAGCUCACGAUUACUUGUGGAUGUUGACUUUCCCAUAGAAGAGGUGUCAGUAUAUUUUUUUCAAACCGAGCCGAUUUUGCUCAUUUUCUGUUGCUUGUGAAUGUGACUUCUCGAGAAGGAUUCUCCCCACUUACUACCUGCGACCUCUAUUUUUCAUCACUGACAAUGACAGCAUUGAUUCUUCCCAAAUACUCUGCUUAGACUCCAGAUUCAGAGCAAAGCCUUAAACUGAACAUAAACUAACAGCAACUCUCCAUUGGAAGCUUUGAAAUUAUGAAGCGUUUAUGAUUUACAAAGUUCGUACAGCUAAUUGUAGGGUACAGUCUUCAUCAGAUGUUCUGCUGCAAUGUAUUAAAUGUUGAAUGUAUGUUUCUUCAUGGUGAAAUAAAAGUGGUAAAGGCAUAAA
This is a long non-coding RNA of Callorhinchus milii (elephant shark), 1497 nucleotides long. RefSeq lists it as uncharacterized. Lineage: Eukaryota; Metazoa; Chordata; Chondrichthyes; Chimaeriformes; Callorhinchidae. The record is from RefSeq and is a predicted model, not a curated record. The transcript has 3 exons.